UAAAGUGGCGUACGGGUGAGUAACACGUGGAUCAUCUACCUCUUGGCGGGGGAAUAACCCUGGGAAACCGGGGCUAAUACCGCAUAAGCCUGCAAAGGGAAAGCGACGUCUUAAAAACGACGCACCGAGAGAGGAGUCCGCGGCCGAUUAGCUUGUUGGUAGGGUAAUGGCCUACCAAGGCAAUGAUCGGUAGCCGGCCUGAGAGGGCACACGGCCACACUGGCACUGAAACACGGGCCAG
RNAcentral lists this ribosomal RNA (241 nucleotides) under uncultured bacterium. Its description in RNAcentral is "partial 16S ribosomal RNA". It matches the Rfam family "Bacterial small subunit ribosomal RNA", at positions 91 to 334 of the family's 1533-position model. The record is from RNAcentral.